This 216-nucleotide small nucleolar RNA is filed under the name Vulpes vulpes (red fox). RNAcentral describes it as "Small nucleolar RNA U3 (ENSVVUG00000001671.1)". It matches the Rfam family "Small nucleolar RNA U3". Rfam says of the family: Small nucleolar RNAs (snoRNAs) are involved in the processing and modification of rRNA in the nucleolus. There are two main classes of snoRNAs: the box C/D class, and the box H/ACA class. U3 snoRNA is a member of the box C/D class. Lineage: Eukaryota; Metazoa; Chordata; Mammalia; Carnivora; Canidae. The record is from Rfam by way of RNAcentral.
AAGACUAUACUUUCAAGGAUCAUUUCUACAAUUUGUUACUAGAGAAGUUUCUAUGAAUGUGUAGAGAGCACCAGAAACUACCAGGAGGAGGCGCAGCAUCUCUCCAGACUGUGAAGCUGGUUUUUAGUGUUUGCUUCUGCAAUGCCAUUCACCAUUGAUAUUGGUUAUUUCUUCUCUUCCUUCGGGGGAGCAAGAGAGGGAGGAUGCAGAUGAGGA